RNAcentral lists this ribosomal RNA (265 nucleotides) under Methylobacterium sp. RNAcentral describes it as "partial 16S ribosomal RNA". It matches the Rfam family "Bacterial small subunit ribosomal RNA", at positions 297 to 580 of the family's 1533-position model. The record is from RNAcentral. Lineage: Bacteria; Pseudomonadati; Pseudomonadota; Alphaproteobacteria; Hyphomicrobiales; Methylobacteriaceae.
AGGAAGAACAACCACCCUGGGACUGAAACACGGCCCAACUCCUACCGGAGGCAGCCGUGGGGAAUAUUGGACGAUGGGCGCAAGCCUGAUCCAGCCAUGCCGCGUGAGUGAUGAAGGCCUUACGGUUGUUAAGCUCUUUUUUUCCGGACGAUAAUGACGGUACCGGAGGAAUAAACCCCCGCUAACUUCCUGCCAGCCGCCGCCGUAAUACGAAGGGGGGUAGCGUUGCUCGGAAUCACUGGGCGUAAAGGGCGCGUACGCAGCC